Molecule: long non-coding RNA, 223 nt
Filed under: Elaeis guineensis (African oil palm)
Lineage: Eukaryota; Viridiplantae; Streptophyta; Magnoliopsida; Arecales; Arecaceae
Description: long non-coding RNA (EGUI_LNC079653)
Source: RNAcentral
UGGCGUUAAAAUGGUUAACGUAAGUUCGGAUGGAUUCUCCCUCCUUUUGCUUGAUGUUGAUGAGGGACUCCGAAUCUCUCUGGGGACGUCGGCUACUGAUGAAAUGAGCAACAAACUGAUGGCUCAUCUGAUCAAAGGAGAAGAUAGUUCCCGGCUUCAGUGCUGAGUACCAAUUUCUUGCUACUCUCUUUAAGGUAGACAGAAAAGCUUGGCACAGGAUGGU